Maniola jurtina (meadow brown) is the source of this 230-nucleotide long non-coding RNA. RefSeq lists it as uncharacterized. NCBI's taxonomy places the organism in Eukaryota, Metazoa, Arthropoda, Insecta, Lepidoptera, Nymphalidae. The transcript has 4 exons. The record is from RefSeq and is a predicted model, not a curated record.
AGUAAUCAUUAAGGUAUAGAUAGAUAGUAAUAUUUAGGCUCGCAGGAGGUGGAUGGAAGAAAACUAGUCGGCGAUAAUAUCCUUAUAAUAAUUAUAUUCAAAUUUACAUUUAAAUGAAAAGACUAAAAACUAGUGCUUAUCUCUAAGCAUGAGAAUAUUCUAACUUAAUAUUACGAUUCCCACAUCGCGCGGGUUCUGGUAUUACGCCGCGUCAGCUAUACGGGUCGUAU